ACGUAGGGUGCAAGCGUUAUCCGGAUUUAUUGGGCGUAAAGCGCUCGUAGGUGGUUUGAUAAGUCUUCUGUGAAAGCUCCGGGCUUAACCCGGAGAGGCCAGAGGAUACUGUCUGACUCGAGGGUGGCAGAGGCCAGUGGAAUUCUAGGUGUAGGAGUGAAAUCCAUUGAUAUCUAGAAGAACACCGAUGGCGAAGGCAGCUGGCUAGGCCACAUCUGACACUGAGGAGCGAAAGCGUGGGGAGCGAACGGGAUUAGAUACCCCGGUAGUCCACGCCGUAAACGAUGUUCACUAGCUGUCAGGAGAAUCGACCCUCCUUGCAGCGAAGCUAACGCGUCAAGUGAACCGCCUGGGAAGUACGGCCGCAAGGCUA
RNAcentral lists this ribosomal RNA (373 nucleotides) under uncultured bacterium. RNAcentral describes it as "bacterial SSU rRNA". It matches the Rfam family "Bacterial small subunit ribosomal RNA", at positions 525 to 896 of the family's 1533-position model. The record is from RNAcentral.